Long non-coding RNA from Dufourea novaeangliae, 298 nucleotides. RefSeq lists it as uncharacterized. Lineage: Eukaryota; Metazoa; Arthropoda; Insecta; Hymenoptera; Halictidae. The record is from RefSeq and is a predicted model, not a curated record. The transcript has 3 exons.
UUUAGUUGUGCUCAGUUGUGCUUGGUUGUGCUCUUGCUCGCGGUGGAUGUGUUCGAUGUGUGAUAACGCUGCGUAAAUCGGUAUGAAAUGUCAACAAUAUGAACGAAGUUGGUCCAUCAUUAGUAACAACUUACACGUUCAAAAACGGUAAAGAGUACGUCGUCAAGAUAAAAAUUACCGCUUUUAAGGGAUGCCAGCGAAAUUUGGACCUGACUGUCACUGAUAAAUACACCGGCGAAAAUUGGCAAUCUUCCUACGAUGCUGCAUAUAUUGAAAACUUGACACACAAAACGGGGAA